Molecule: transfer RNA, 72 nt
Filed under: Bos taurus (domestic cattle)
Lineage: Eukaryota; Metazoa; Chordata; Mammalia; Artiodactyla; Bovidae
Also listed under: 4 other names
Rfam family: tRNA
About the family: Transfer RNA (tRNA) molecules are approximately 80 nucleotides in length. Their secondary structure includes four short double-helical elements and three loops (D, anti-codon, and T loops).
Source: Rfam by way of RNAcentral
UCCCUUGUAGCUUAGCUGGUAAAGAAUCUACCUGCGAUGCAGGAGACCGAGGUUCGAUUUCUGGCUUGGGAA